Molecule: ribosomal RNA, 253 nt
Filed under: uncultured bacterium
Lineage: Bacteria
Description: partial 16S ribosomal RNA
Rfam family: Bacterial small subunit ribosomal RNA
Source: RNAcentral
UACGAAGGGGGCUAGCGUUGUUCGGAAUUACUGGGCGUAAAGCGCGUGUAGGCGGGUCUUUAAGUCAGGGGGGAAAUGCCAAGGCUCAACCUUGGAACUGCCUUUGAUACUGGAGACCUUGAGUCCGGGAGAGGUGAGUGGAAUUGCGAGUGUAGAGGUGAAAUUCGUAGAUAUUCGCAAGAACACCAGUGGCGAAGGCGGCUCACUGGCCCGGAACUGACGCUGAGACGCGAAAGCGUGGGUAGCAAACAGG